GUGGCGAGCAAAGUUUCUGAGUCCUGCUCAGCUCGCGGUCUUCCCUCCCCUCUGUUUGUGUUUCGGCGGCGCGGUGUGUGUGUGUGUGUGUGUGUGUGUGUGUGUGCGCGCGCGCGCGUGUGCGGCGGGGAAGGGGCGGGGAGAGUGAGAGGGACCAGCCGGAGGUUGAGAGGGGCUCGCGGAGCUCCAGCUCCACAGCGGUGCUGCAACCUUCAGCCCGGGCAGGCGAGAGGGAGAGCGCUGACAGCCGCCGUCCGGAGCUGCUGGAGGCGCCGCCACAGUCCAGCGCCGACUUCCCCGCCUCCACCGUCAACAGUGCAGAAGAAAAGGGGGACCGAUCGCCACCACCCUACCCCGCCCCAAACAAAAAGCCUUGUGGAUUACAAAGUGAAACUGACACGGGACAAUAAAACCAAAGGGCAAGAGGUCAGGGGCGAGGCGCACUAGAGUGGGCUUCUGACUGGGACUGCCGGAGGAGUCCCCUGGCAUGGUGAGGGGAGGGGACGCGGGGACAGCGCGCUGCUCCUGCCCGACGCCGGCGAGGCCGAGAAGAAAGGGGGACCUGCGCUUGAUUUGGAUGUACAAAUAAUGGGUCGGCAGGCGUCCCGGCAGAGGUAAAAAAAAAAAAAUGCUGAGGAGCGCUGGAUUUUGCCUGUGCCCGCCUAAGGGCUGGAAACGGCAGCAGGGGCGGCGGCAGCUCCUCCUGGAGGAGAAGGGACGGAGCUGAGCGCUCCAGAGCGCCCCGCGAGCGUUUGGAAUGCAGUUUGCUGGCUGCCCGAGCUUAGACGCCGCCGCCUGGGCCUCCGCGCCACUUCUGCAGCCCUGCUGAAGGGCUUUGCAGCCUUGUUCUUGAGGAGAGGGGAACUCGAGGAAACUCCUUGUCUCCAGCUUUUGGAAAAGGAAUUCGAUAAUCCUCGGUUCCCCAUCGUCCCCUCCCCAGUGCGCAGUUGUUCUCUCCACACCGCUGCGGAAGUUUGUCCUUCCUUCCUCAGUUUCUUCGCCUUGGGUAAGUUUUAAAGUUUCUGAAGAUAAUAGUUUGAGGUAAUUCUUCCUAUACCUUAAAUACAGGCAACUUCUUCCAACUCCUAUCCACCCCCGGCGAAAACGCUCAGACUCUCCGGAUUCGAAAAUAAAGUGAAGGGGGAAAUAUAGGAGACUGGAGAAACUGCUCUGGGAACUCGUCCACAAGCAGGAGUAAGUGCCCGAGGAAUGCCCUGCCGCUUUUCCUCAAGGCAUCUCUUCCCUCACUAAGCGUCCAAAUGGCUACCUGGAGGCUUUUGCUCGUGCGAAUUGCUUCUUCUGGACUGGAAGUUCUUUGAAAUAGCAGAGCUCUCAGAGCCAUCGGCUGCAUGUCUGCUGGUGCUACUUGAUCCCUGUCAUUAUCACUUUUUUUUUUUUGGCCUCACCUCUUCCUUC
This 1416-nucleotide long non-coding RNA is filed under the name Bos grunniens (domestic yak). RNAcentral's name for it is "lncRNA (ENSBGRG00000009843.1)". Lineage: Eukaryota; Metazoa; Chordata; Mammalia; Artiodactyla; Bovidae. The record is from RNAcentral.